UAGAGUGGAGUGGGCGUUUGGCCUUGCCAUUAAGACACCACUUGGGAUAUCCGUAUCCCAUUUUAGAGUGCUUGAGUUUGAGUCCCACUUCUUCUCCCAUUGCCAGCUUCCUGCUAAUGUGCACAUUGCAAGAAAGCAGGUGAUAGGUCAGGUAUUUGGGUCCUCAACACCCAGGUGGAAACCUGGCUUGCAUUCCUGGUUCCCAGCUUUGGCUUGGCCUAGCCACAGCUGUUGAAGGCAUCUGGGGUGUGAACCAGCAAAUGGGAGAUCUUUCUGUCUCUAGGCCUCUUAAAUAAAUUAAAAAAAAAAUAAAAUAAAAUCCUGGAGCCAACGUUAUAGUGCAGCAGGUGCAGGAGCCUGGGCAUUUAGGCUUUCCUCUGCUACUUUCCCAGGCACACUUGGAAGAAACUGGGUUUAAAGUGGAGCACCUGGGACUUGAACUGGCACUCUUAUAGGAUGCUAACAUUGCAGGUGGAGGUUUAACCAACUGUGCCAUAAUGCCAGCCUGAGAGUGUUUUUAAAGGAACAAAAAAAGUUUUUCAAAGAUUUAUUUAUUUAGUUGAAAGGCAGAGUUACAGAGAGGCAGAGGCAGAGGUGGGGGGUGGAAGGAGAGAGAGAGGUCAUCCAACUGCUGGUUCACUCCCCAGAUGGCAGCAAUGGCUGGAGCUGGGCUGAUCCAAAGCCAGGAUCCAUGAGCUUCCUCUGGGUCUUCCCAUGCAGAUGCAGGAGCCCAGGGACUUGCGUCAUCUUCUACUGCUUUCCCAGACCAAAGCAGAGAACUGGAUGGGAAGUGGAGCAGCCGGGACUUGAAGUGGAGUCCAUAUGGGAUGCCUGCUCUGCAGGCGGUAGCUUUACCCCCUGUGCCAGGAUGCCAGCCUCAGGAACAAAAUUUUAAUGAUAAGUUUUCUGAAUUGGUUUGGGGUUCCUAUAGUUGACUGUCUAAUUUGAUGAAAUUUAAAAUUGCUGAGGGGGUCCAGCAUUGUGGCACAGAGAUUUAGACCACUGCUUGUGACACUCACAUCCCGUAUUGGUUCAAGUCUUGGCUGCUCUGCUUCCUAUCCACCUCCUAGCUCACGUGUCUGAAAAAGCAGCAUAAGCUGGGAGAUGGAAUGGAGUUGCAGGCUCCUGGCUUCAGCCUGGCCCAGCCCUAGCGGCUGUGACCAUCUGCGGAGCGAACCAGCAGAUGUGGAAGAUCUCUUUCUCUGUCUCUCGCUUUCUAGCUCUCCCCCCUCCUUUUUCUCUCCCUUCUCUUUCUAUUACUCUGUCUUUCAAAUAAACAAAACACAUGUUAAAAAAAAAAAAAAAAACAAAGGCACUUGCUAGGGAUCUCAUUUCUGUUAGUAAAGGAAACACUGACAGUCCAUGGAGUGAACUGUUUAUAGAGAUAAGCAAAAUAUCUACUUUGGGUAGUCCUAGUAAACCACUUACAAGAAAUGUCAGAGGAUAAAAUUAUAACAAUUUAGCAAUCUUAAUUGGCUUUACUUUAGAUUUUUCAGGCAACACUUCACUCCGUAAAAUAGAAUAAGUAUUCUGAUGAACAGGAGUUGGUUUAAUAGGCAGAAAAGGGCUGAAGAAAGCAGAAACAAAGACCAAAAUGAGUUGAUCAUUUAAAGGUUACUUUUUUUGUAAAAUCAGGAUGAUGAGACAGAAUAAUAGGGAAAGAACUGGAGUGUUAACCUCAGGUUAUUUCAGGUGACUUCUCUUGUGUAGGGAUUAAAGCACAUUAUCAUGCUGAGUGAUUUCGGCCUAUUUGGGAAACUUGGCUGUUGUAUUUCUAAUCCUCGCUUCUCUGAAGGUCAGGUACACAGCUUAGUUUCAGCUUGGUAAUGUGUAAGUUUACUGUGAUUCCCUUUUGAUCCUUAUCCUGGUGCGUUGGGGACCAGCAGUACAGGAGCUUAGUCCAAAACAAUGGCCUCCUGUACUUUUUAUUUAACAGGGGCAAAGAGCUAAGUAGCUCUCUAUAUACCUUUGGACAUUUUUGGAAUACUAAGGAAUGCAGUGAUGUUGGUCGCUCCCAAAGCUGGCGAACGAAGUAGUGAAAGAAAAGGACGAACUUAAUGGUUUAAGUUCCCAGCAGUGCAAGCACUCAUAGAUGAUCUAAGCACUUGUGGGUUUGCCCUGAAGGAGAGCCUCAUCUCCCAUAGCUCUGGAGCUGACACUGCUGAAGAUCAGACACAACUCUUUCUCCUGCAGCCAGCUGCAUUCCAAGGCUUUGUGGGUUUUCUACUGUCAAAGUACAGGCAUUCACUGGAGAAAGAAAGGGGUCCUUUAGGUGAGGACAGGUGCAUGUCAGGAGAGCCCAUGGAGCAGGGGAUGUUGAGCCCUUAAAUCCUGGUAUCUUUUUCCCCAGUAGAUAAAGUCCCUCUAGUCUGAGCAGAAGCAGCCUCCUCAAUCUAAAUAGACUAAGACCAAGUGCUGUGGAUGCCAUCACCUUCUUCAGUGUCCUAUAGGCAGGGAUUAGCUUACCACUUCCCAGUCUGUUGGCUCCUCACCAUUGGCACAUUUGUGAUGAUAUUAUCGGUUGACACAGUCUCCUACCCUCCUCUCUGCAAGAAUGUUUAUACUUGGCUUCCAGGACAUCCCAUUUCCAGUUUUUCUCCUUCAGUGGACUAGUCUUCCACUCUCAUUUGCUGGUUCCUUUUCAUAACCUUGGCCUCUAAACCAGCAGUUCUCAAAACUUUGUGCCCCCAGGACCUCUUUUAUGUUUUAAAAAAUUAUUGAGGCCCUCAAAGAGGUGUUGGUUGUGUGGCAUAUCUGUCAAUAUUUAUUCCAUUUAAAAUUAAAAUGGAAAGGCUGGUACUGUGGUGUAGCAGGUGAAGCUGCCUACUGUGCAUGUGCAUGACUUAUGGAUACCGGUUCAAGUCGUGCCUACUCCACUUCCAGUCUAGCUCCCAGCUAAUGCAACUAGGAAAGUAGCAGGAGAUGACCCAGUACUUGGUUCCCUGAACCCAAAUGGGAGACCCAGAAGAAAGUCUCGCCUCCUGGCUUUGGAUCGGCCCAACCCUGUCCAUUACAGCCAUUUGGGGAAUGAACCAGCAGAUGGAAGAUCUCUCUUUCUUCCUCUUUCUCUGUAACUUUGCCUUUCAAAUAAAUAAAUGUAUCCUUUUUAAAAAUAAAGUCAACAGGGGCCAAGCACUGUGGCACAGUGGGUUAAAGCCCCAGCCUGUAGCGCCAGCAUCCCAUAUGGGCACCAGUUUGAGUUCUGGCUGCUCCUCUUCUGAUCCAUCUCUCUGCUAUGGCCUGGGAAAGCAGUAGAAGAUGGCCCAAGUCCUUGGCACCCUGUACCCAUGUGGGGGACCUGGAAGAAGCUCCUGGCUCCUGGCUUCCAUCAGCUCAGCUCUGGCCAUUGCGGUCAUUUGGGGAGUGAACCAGCCAAACUGAAGACCUCUCUCUCUCUCUCUCUCUCUGCCUGUACUUCUCUCCAUAACUCCUCUGUCUUUCAAAUAAAUAAAAUAAUUCUUAAAAAAAAAAAUAAAGUCAACAUUCACGGUGUCCCGUCUUCUCUCUUUUUUCUUUGUUUAUUUGAAUGGCAUAAUGGCAGAGAGGUAGGGGGGACAGAGAGAGAGAGAGCCACCUCUCCCAUUUGCUGGGUCACUCCCUCCAAAAUUAUAAAUUCAUUUAAUUUAAUUAUCAAAAACCUAUGACAUGUUAACAUAAAUACCAUUUUCUUAGGGAAAAAAACUAUUUUUCAGAAGUAAUUAGUGGGAAUGUUGUAGGAUUAGUGGGAUGUUGAAUCCACUUGCUUGAUAAACAGCAAGCAAAUCACUGACAUUGGGGUGGUGUGAGAAAGCAGGUAUUUAUUGCAAAGCACAAGGGGUUAGAGGUAAGGGGUCCUACAGAUCGAGUAGCUCUAACGAUGCACUGAGAGGCAUUGUUGUAUGUAUUUUUAAAAAAGAUUUAUUUAUUCAUUUGAAAGAGUUACAGAGAGAGAGGGAGAGACAGAGAGAGAGGUCUUUGAUCUACUGGUUCACUCCCCAAAUGGCCGCAACAGCCAGUGCUGGCACCGGGCUUAAGCCGGGAGCCAGGAGCUUCUUUCAGGUCUCCCACAUGGGUGGCAGGGGCACAAGUAUUUGGUCCAUCUUCCACUGUUGUUCCCAGGACAUUGGCAGGGAGCUGGAUCAGAAGUAGAGCAGCCAGGACGUGAACUGGUGCUCCCAUGGGAUGCUAGUGUCGCAGGUGGCACAUUAACCCGAUAUGCCACAACAUCAGAUCUUUAACGACGGUAUUAACUGUCUAUGCUUCAUAGGAAAACUUUGCCCACUACUAUUCUAAUUUAGUAGAGGACAGCUACAUUUCUCACUUAUACUUCUAAUUCGGUCUAUUGUAAUUUGUUGUUUGGGUUAAAGCACAUGAAGAAAAUCUGACUUCACAUAGCCAGUGUAUUUGGAAAAAGGAAGGAAAAAAAAAGAGGAGUAUUUUAGUAGCCUUUUGAGAUAAUAGUGGAUAUUCUCCUCUGAUUGUGCAACAGAAUUCCAAGGGAUGAUUUCUUUUUAUUUAUUUAUUUUUUUGACAGGCAGAGUUAGACAGUGAGAAGAGAGACACAGAGAGAGAUUUAUAGACAGAGACAGAGAGAGAGGUCUUCCUUCUGUUGGUUCACUCCCCUAAAGGCUGCCACGGCCAGCGCUGCGCCAAUCCGAAGCCAGGAGCCAGGUGUUUCUCCUGGUCUCCCAUGCGGGUGCAGGGACCCAAGCACUUGGGCCAUCUUCCACUGCCCUCCCAGGCCACAGCAGAGAGCUGGACUGGAAGAGGAGCAACCAGGACUAGAACCCAGUGCCCAUUUGGGAUGCCGGCGCUGCAGGCGGAGGAUUAUUAGCCAAGUGAGCCAUGGCACUGGCCCCAAGGGAUGAUUUCUUAAAAGUUAAUUGCAAAGUGCAACCUGAUACCUUAUCAGUGAACUUUUUGUCUUCAGUUAAGUUAAAAUCUAUUGUCCAUCUUGCACUUGUGGCUCUGGACAAUGAGAGUUGCCCAUUACCCAGGUUCUUGUCAAGAGCGAGUGAGAAAAUAACAGAUAGCAAGCAGCAAGCAUUUUAUGGAGAAAGCAAAAAGUGCACAUUCCACAGUUAGAGUCCUGGCUCUGUGGAGGAGAGUGGCUCUUUGUCUGAACUGGUGUUUGACAAUGAAUGGUUGGUUAAUGAAAUAUAUUCAUGGUUUUUCUGGGAAGUGGGUGGAGAUUUCCCAACAUCUAGCUACCACCCCUUCUCAAUCUUUAUGUGGUUCGGUGUUUCCUGUCAUGGCGGCUGAGUAGGUAUGUCAUUUAACAUGCUAAUGUAUUACAAGAAGCAUAUAACCCGCUGUAGCUCAAUCUGGGUCAUCCUUGACCCUCUAAACUGGUUUGAGCCUCCUCCAGGCAGGGGGUGUGUUGUCUUCAGAGCAAGAGGAACCAAACUGAUAUCCUGUAGGCCUUGUGGUAAUAGGAACUCCCAGGUGGCUCAACCACUCCCUCCACUUGUCUGUCUCACUUGAAAGGGCUCUCUCUCUCUCUCUUAAAGAUUUAUUUAUUUAUUUGAAAGGCAGAGCUAAAAAGAAGCAGAAGUAGAAAGACGGAGGGUGGAGGGAGAGAGAGAGAGGUCUUCCAUCCACUGGUUCACUCCCCAGAUGGCUGCAACAACCAGAGCUGCGCCAAUCUGAAGCCAGGAGGCAGGAGCUUCCCACGUAGGUGUAGGGGCCCAAGGAGUUGAGCCAUCUUCUGCUGUUUUCCCAGGCCAUAGCAGAGAGCUGGAUCUGAAGUGGAGCAGCCUAUAUGGGAUGCCAGCACUGCAGACGGCACCUUUACCUGCUACACCACAGCACUGGCCCCAUUGGAAGGGCUCUUAAGAUUAAUGGUGGAAGUAUAACCACAACAUGUUUGCCACUAUGUACAUCUACCAUGGGGAUUACAGUGAUGUCACUGACUAUUGAUUGUCUAGGAGGCACAAAUCAGAUCAAGAAACACUGGAAUUUGCUGCAAAAGCAAAGAGACAGCUUCUGUCUGCUGGUUCACUCCCCAGAUGCCCACAGCAGACAGGGAAGAACUGAAGCCAGGAUCCAGGAACUCAAUUCCGUAUCUCACAUGUGAGUAGAGGAACCAACCCCUUGAUCCACUUUUUUUCCCCAUAAACCUUUCAUUUAAGGAAUACAAACUUAUACAUUUCAUAAUUACAACUGUAAGAAGAUGGUGAUUCUUCCUAUCGUACCUGACCUCCUACCCUUCUUUCUCCUCCCUCUCCUAUUCCCAUUCUUAUUUUUAACUAAGAUUUAUUCUCAAUUAACUUCAUACACAUGAUUAACUCUAUGUUAAGAGUUCAGCAAACAGUAUGAAAAAAAGUGAUUCCUCAACAGUUGAGACAAAGGCUGUUCAAAGUCAUUGCUUCUCAAAAUGUCAGUUUCACUCCUGUAGAUUGUCAUUUAGGUGCUCUAUUAGUUAUUACAGGUCAGGGAGAACAUAUAUUUGCCCUUUGGGGACUGGCUUAUUUCACUAAGUAUGAUGAUUUCCAGUUCCAUCCAUUUUAUU
This is a non-coding RNA of Oryctolagus cuniculus (rabbit), 6490 nucleotides long. NCBI's taxonomy places the organism in Eukaryota, Metazoa, Chordata, Mammalia, Lagomorpha, Leporidae. The record is from RefSeq and is a predicted model, not a curated record.